This 75-nucleotide transfer RNA is filed under the name Thiotrichales bacterium. RNAcentral describes it as "tRNA-Gly". It matches the Rfam family "tRNA". From Rfam's summary of the family: Transfer RNA (tRNA) molecules are approximately 80 nucleotides in length. Their secondary structure includes four short double-helical elements and three loops (D, anti-codon, and T loops). Lineage: Bacteria; Pseudomonadati; Pseudomonadota; Gammaproteobacteria; Thiotrichales. The record is from RNAcentral.
GCGGGUAUCGUAUAUCGGCUAUUACCUCGGCCUUCCAAGCCGAUGAGGGGGGUUCGACUCCCCCUACCCGCUCCA